CGUGAACGCUGGCGGUAGGCCUAACGCAUGCAAGUCGAACGGCAGCACAGUAAGAGCUUGCUCUUACGGGUGGCGAGUGGCGGACGGGUGAGGAAUACAUCGGAAUCUACUUUUUCGUGGGGGAUAACGUAGGGAAACUUACGCUAAUACCGCAUACGACCUGCGGGUGAAAGCAGGGGAUCUUCGGACCUUGCGCGAUUGAAUGAGCCGAUGUCGGAUUAGCUAGUUGGCGGGGUAAAGGCCCACCAAGGCGACGAUCCGUAGCUGGUCUGAGAGGAUGAUCAGCCACACUGGAACUGAGACACGGUCCAGACUCCUACGGGAGGCAGCAGUGGGGAAUAUUGGACAAUGGGCGCAAGCCUGAUCCAGCCAUACCGCGUGGGUGAAGAAGGCCUUCGGGUUGUAAAGCCCUUUUGUUGGGAAAGAAAAGCAGCAGGUUAAUACCCCGCUGUUCUGACGGUACCCAAAGAAUAAGCACCGGCUAACUUCGUG
This 492-nucleotide ribosomal RNA is filed under the name uncultured bacterium. RNAcentral's name for it is "partial 16S ribosomal RNA". It matches the Rfam family "Bacterial small subunit ribosomal RNA", at positions 29 to 507 of the family's 1533-position model. The record is from RNAcentral.